AGAGUUUGAUCCUGGCUCAGGAUGAACGCUAGCUACAGGCUUAACACAUGCAAGUCGAGGGGCAUCAUGAGGUCUGCUUGCAGACCUUGAUGGCGACCGGCGCACGGGUGAGUAACGCGUAUCCAACCUUCCCCAUAGUAGGGGAUAGCCCGGCGAAAGUCGGAUUAAUACUCUAUGUUGUAUUUUGAGGACAUCUGACGAAUACCAAAGAUUUAUCGCUAAGGGAUGGGGAUGCGUCUGAUUAGCUUGUCGGCGGGGUAACGGCCCACCGAGGCGACGAUCAGUAGGGGUUCUGAGAGGAAGGUCCCCCACAUUGGUACUGAGACACGGACCAAACUCCUACGGGAGGCAGCAGUGAGGAAUAUUGGUCAAUGGGCGUAGGCCUGAACCAGCCAAGUAGCGUGCAGGAAGACUGCCCUAUGGGUUGUAAACUGCUUUUAUGCGGGAAUAAAGUCAGGUACGUGUACCUGUUUGCAUGUACCGCAUGAAUAAGGACCGGCUAAUUCCGUGCCAGCAGCCGCGGUAAUACGGAAGGUCCGGGCGUUAUCCGGAUUUAUUGGGUUUAAAGGGAGCGCAGGCCGCCGAUUAAGCGUGUUGUGAAAUGUAGGGGCUCAACCUCUGAAUUGCAGCGCGAACUGGUCGGCUUGAGAUAGCGCGAGGUAGGCGGAAUUCGUGGUGUAGCGGUGAAAUGCUUAGAUAUCACGAAGAACCCCGAUUGCGAAGGCAGCUUACCAGAGCUAUUCUGACGCUAAAGCUCGAAGGUGCGGGUAUCGAACAGGAUUAGAUACCCUGGUAGUCCGCACGGUAAACGAUGGAUGCCCGCUGUUUGCGUCUAACGUAAGCGGCCAAGUGAAAACGUUAAGCAACCCACCUGGGGAGUACGCCGGCAACGGUNAAACUCAAAGGAAUUGACGGGGGCCCGCACAAGCGGAGGAACAUGUGGUUUAAUUCGAUGAUACGCGAGGAACCUUACCCGGGCUUGAAUUGCUGAGGAAAGAUCCAGAGAUGGUGAUCGUCUCGGGGCCUCAGUGAAGGUGCUGCAUGGUUGUCGUCAGCUCGUG
This 1061-nucleotide ribosomal RNA is filed under the name unidentified rumen bacterium 30-24. RNAcentral's name for it is "bacterial SSU rRNA". It matches the Rfam family "Bacterial small subunit ribosomal RNA", at positions 8 to 1064 of the family's 1533-position model. The record is from RNAcentral. Lineage: Bacteria; Pseudomonadati; Bacteroidota; Bacteroidia; Bacteroidales; Bacteroidaceae.